GUGGGGAAUCUUGCGCAAUGGGCGAAAGCCUGACGCAGCCAUGCCGCGUGAAUGAUGAAGGUCUUAGGAUUGUAAAAUUCUUUCACCGGGGACGAUAAUGACGGUACCCGGAGAAGAAGCUCCGGCUAACUUCGUGCCAGCAGCCGCGGUAAUACGAAGGGGGCUAGCGUUGCUCGGAAUUACUGGGCGUAAAGGGCGCGUAGGCGGACAGCUUAGUCAGAGGUGAAAGCCCAGGGCUCAACCUUGGAAUUGCCUUUGAUACUGGAUGUCUUGAGUUUGGGAGAGGUGAGUGGAACUCCGAGUGUAGAGGUGAAAUUCGUAGAUAUUCGGAAGAACACCAGUGGCGAAGGCGACUCACUUGCCCAAUACUGACGCUGAGGCGCGAAAGCGUGGGGAGCAAACAGGAUUAGAAACCCUUGUAGUCC
RNAcentral lists this ribosomal RNA (425 nucleotides) under uncultured bacterium. RNAcentral's name for it is "partial 16S ribosomal RNA". It matches the Rfam family "Bacterial small subunit ribosomal RNA", at positions 354 to 796 of the family's 1533-position model. The record is from RNAcentral.